AGUGGCGGGGUUCUCGCCGGUCCUGCGGGUCGCUGCUUGGCUGUGGGUUAGCAGCACCCUGAGCGGAGCGGAAGAGCUGCCCGCCGCCGCGUAACCCCGAGGCCGAGACUCCUGGCCUGGCCUCCUUGGGCCCACGACGCCUGCCCCGCGGAGCGGACCCAUGGGCCUGAGGUUUGUGUGCGGGGCCUCAGGCGAGCGCUGGCGCAGCCUGUCCCCCAUCGUCUGCGCCCUGCGGGCCUGGCCCUCCCCGUGGAAGGACCGCGGGCUUCGGGGCCCCACGCUGGGGGGCUGACUCCUGCCACACACACAGCGGUGGCCGCGGGCCUGGGGCGGCAGCACAGCCAUUCUGCUCGGGCUGCGUGAGCUGACCCCGCUCUCUGUGCACCUACUUUUGCUGCGUUUGGUGCUGAGCCUGAAGUCCCAGGACAGGCGGCUGAGGGGGAAAGAUGGUGUGAAUUGGGUGGGCAGAGACAACUGAAAGCCACAGGACCCGGUUGGCACCUUUUUGGCCGCCUGCGCCUUUGCCUGCAGCCCCGCUCCCUGGGUCACCCGAAGGAGGAGCUGGCGCUCUUUCCGGGCGCAGAAGCACCCGACCCACGCUGGAGGAAACGGUCCCUCUGGGCAGGAGAAGCUUUGGGCCUGGCUGGAGCACACUCACGGAACCACGCCAACGCCUGGCCUGUAGCCAGCUCCCACCUCCCCUCCCACCUUCUAAAAUGCUUGCGGAUCUCACGUGGCCGACCCUAACCAGAUACACAUGGGGAAAGGAAUCAGGUGGCACACAUACCGCCUUUACUCCAUAGAGAACUUCCAAUUGUGGGUAAGAACAAAGCCCCACCUCUUCCUAAUAGAUGCAGUUUUCCACCUGCAGCCAAAAAGACAACCUGUUAUUAGCUUUUUUCCCAGAGGACAGGCAUCUCUAUGAAACUGCCAUUGCAAAAUUUGCCGACAGUGAGAUAACCAGCUCCAUUUUGCUUCUAACCUCCAUGCCCUCCUUGUUUACUGCUGCACGCAGGUUGAACUGUGGGAGGAACUUAGUUUAAAACAAAGAUGAUAACAGCCCUUUCCCAAAGGAAACCUUUCCUGGGGAUUAGCCUGCUUUUGUGGGACCAACAGAUUAGCCACAAGAUUAGAAACUACGGUUGAAGAGUCACGCAGCGGGAGGCUACAGGAUUCUGACCCUCCCCAAACUGCUCCUGGCGAUAACAUCACCAUCGUAAAGCCUAAGAUCAGCACUUGGUGGGUCACCUGGCACCACCCAGGCUCAUCUGAUGUUGUGGCACCCAGGAACUGACUCAGUGCGAAAACAGCUUCGACUCCCUGUGAUUUCAUCUCUGACCUGACCAAUGGGUCGGCACAGACGCAACCCAGUCUCCUCCCACCUCCGAGAGUGCAGUGUCCUGAAUGGAGAACCCCAGCACCCAGAAGCAUCCACUGAAG
This 1440-nucleotide long non-coding RNA is filed under the name Homo sapiens (human). RNAcentral describes it as "non-protein coding NOP14-AS1:15". The record is from RNAcentral. Lineage: Eukaryota; Metazoa; Chordata; Mammalia; Primates; Hominidae.